Molecule: transfer RNA, 71 nt
Filed under: Marmota marmota marmota (Alpine marmot)
Lineage: Eukaryota; Metazoa; Chordata; Mammalia; Rodentia; Sciuridae
Also listed under: 1 other name
Rfam family: tRNA
About the family: Transfer RNA (tRNA) molecules are approximately 80 nucleotides in length. Their secondary structure includes four short double-helical elements and three loops (D, anti-codon, and T loops). Further hydrogen bonds mediate the characteristic L-shaped molecular structure. tRNAs have two regions of fundamental functional importance: the anti-codon, which is responsible for specific mRNA codon recognition, and the 3' end, to which the tRNAs corresponding amino acid is attached (by aminoacyl-tRNA synthetases). tRNAs cope with the degeneracy of the genetic code in two manners: having more than one tRNA (with a specific anti-codon) for a particular amino acid; and 'wobble' base-pairing, i.e. permitting non-standard base-pairing at the 3rd anti-codon position.
Source: Rfam by way of RNAcentral
GGGGUCGUGGCUCAGCGGUAGAGCACUCACCUGGCACGCGUGAGGCCCUGGGUUCGAUCCUCAGCACCCCA